AUCGCUUCUCGACCUUUUGGCUAAGAUCAAGUGUAGUAUCUGAGAACUGUACAUGGUCGGUCUUUUGGCAAAAAUCAGGUGUAGUUUCUGGGUGCUACACAUGAUCCUUAUUAUUCACUUUCUUCUUUUCUAAACUCUGCAUCAUGCAUGGUAACUGGGAGCCAUGCACAAUACUUACUAUUCACUUUCUUAU
Molecule: small nuclear RNA, 193 nt
Organism: Heteronotia binoei (common prickly gecko)
Lineage: Eukaryota; Metazoa; Chordata; Lepidosauria; Squamata; Gekkonidae
Product: U2 spliceosomal RNA
Exons: 1
Source: RefSeq, a predicted model, not a curated record